RNAcentral lists this transfer RNA (86 nucleotides) under Nitrososphaerota archaeon. RNAcentral describes it as "Thaumarchaeota archaeon tRNA-Ser". It matches the Rfam family "tRNA". From Rfam's summary of the family: Transfer RNA (tRNA) molecules are approximately 80 nucleotides in length. Their secondary structure includes four short double-helical elements and three loops (D, anti-codon, and T loops). RNAcentral also lists the same sequence under 2 other names. Lineage: Archaea; Thermoproteati; Nitrososphaerota. The record is from RNAcentral.
GCAGGGGUAGCCUAGCCUGGUAAGGCGCAGGCUUGCUAAGCCUGUGUCUCUCACGGGACUCGUGGGUUCGAAUCCCACCCCCUGCG